CUCAUACCCUCCCAUGAGCAACCAUGUGGACAGAGCUGACUCACACCCUCCUAUGAUCACCCACAUGAGGCAGAGGUGACUCACAGCCUCCCCCGCUGGACAUGGCCUGAAGCUUGGCUCUGGGAGGAGAACAGGGGUGCCUGCGCCAUCCUCUGCUGUGUUUAAUGCCUGGGUGCUGCCCACACACUGGUGGUGCCCAGCCCCCGUGCCCCUGCUCCACCUCUGUGAGUGUGAAAGUGUCAGGAGUUGGCUGUUCCAGACCCAGUGAGGUGGUGAAGCUGACUCAGCUGCCAGAGGGAAGACAGGAGGCUACUCAGAGAGAGCCACUGUGGCUUCUCUGGGCCCAUCGGGGCUGUAGUUGUGUCAGCCCUGCUGGAAACAGGCUGGAUCUGGCCACACUCAUUCUGUGAAACACCCGGUGGGGUUCUGCAACCAACAGCCUCGUCCCCGGCAUCCUGCAUUCCUAGCUGCUUCCCAGAGCUGCCACCCUGGGACCUCAGUGGCCUGAGUGGGUAAAAGCCACAGCUGUGCCUGAUUCUGCGGCUCCUGGGCUACACGUUCCUCUAGCCCCAUGUGUCUCCUCUCAUGCUGCCCAGCAUUCCAUCCUCACCACGUGCUUGGGGUUUUGCUAGGGCAGCUCGCCACUCCUGGGGUGGAUUUCUGUAUCCCUGCAGAGCCGGCUCGCCUACAAUCAGAGCCCCACAUGCCUGUUGUGGCUGUUUCUCCCGUGGAGUCGUCCAGGGCCCAGCUCCUGCUGUCUGGCUCUGCUCAUGGCCACUGCAGAUGCUGAAUUCAAAAGAAGAGGGCAGGGAAGCUGUGUGGGGUGCUCAGCUGUGAGGAUGACCUCACAGGGCCACAGAACCUAGUGGGGUAGGGCAACACAGCCCCACCGUGUGCCUGGGAGCAGGAGGAAAGCUGGGGGGCAUCUGGCAGUUCCUACCACAGAAGCCACGGCUGCUCAGUUGGGGAGUGGAGCAGCCGGGAGUCAAACAGUGCUUGCCUGACGUCCAGACCCCGCUGUAGUCACCAGCCGUGCGAGAGCACAGCAGCCAGGGUCCUGCUCUCAACAUGUAGCCUGCUCUGGCCACUGCAGGCAGCCGAACAAAAUGCAGGGGCCAGGCUUUCUGCUGAGGACUUUGAUUCAACAGAUGCACCUUUAACAAGCCACUAAGUUCUGUGGACUGCUUUGCAGGGGCAGGAUUUGGUGAGGAAGCAAAAUAAUGACUUUACACAGAAGCCUGUUCUCUAGGAGGUCCUGAGUCAUUUACAUCGGUGACCUGGGGCAGCAGUCAGGCUGCGGGAGCACAACCCAGGCAAAGCACCUGCUGAGGAAGGGCCCAGCAUCCUGCAGAAGCUCCUACCACGUGUGGGGCGCCUGGCCCUUGCCUUGGCGUUUCUUAUCUUUUACUUACAUCUGUGAUUUCAGAGCCUCCCAGUGUCCUAAGACCUUGCUUACAGGGCUUUGGGCUAGUUCCAACAUUCCUGGGGCUCGAUGGGAAGCUCAGCACCAGACAGCCACGCUUGGGCACGUUCAGACCCUCAGCCAGCACGGGCCAUGUUCUUCGGAGAGGAGGCCUGCUUGAGAUACAGCUUCCGUUACAGUGCGGUGGGCAGGUGGGCCGGUCGUGCCUGAAAGGAGGGCAGUUGAUGAAAUGCACCUGGGAAGGUUCGUGGGUUCAAAACUGUCUUGUCAGGAGGGAACUGAGUGUGGGUCAGAACAAGGCCACGGAGGUGGCGUCCACUGAGCUGUGAUCGUGUACGAGGGCAGGAUCUCGCUUAAAUACAGUGAAACUGUCUUGCGAUGGAAACUCCCUUUGCAAACAGCUCAUGAUUCUGCUUGUGGAUAAUUUAAGUUGCUGUUGUGUCUCCUGCCUUAUGAUAGCUAAUUGCAAUCACUCCUCCCACAGGAGGUGUGUCUAACCCACCUGAACGUGGUUAUCCCUGAAGCCAUUCCACCCUUUCGUUGCGUCAGCAUUGACCCAGAAGACUCAUUUUGACCCCGGCCUGUCGUCAUCGAGAGCAAGGCCACGGCAGUCACCCGCUGCCCUUGUGCGCAAUCGCUGCUCAGUGGACGCUGCCUCCGUGGCCUUGUUCUGACCCACACUUGGUUCCCUCCUGACAAGACAGUUUUGAACCCAUAAACGCCUAUCUUUCCAGGUACAUUUCACAACUGCCCCCCUACCAGUCACCACCGCCCCACCUGCCCACAACACUGCAACGGAAGCCGUCUCUCAAGCAGGCCUCACUGAAGACCACGGUCCAUGCUGCUGAGGUCAUGAAUGUCCCCAGCGUGGCCACCUGGCACUGGCUUUUCCCCAUCUGGGGAAGCUGGAAAUGCCCAAAGCCCGGGUCUUGGAUUCUGCUUUUUCUACUCAGAUAAAGACACUUGGAUCUGGGUCUGAAGUGCAGGCUGUGUUCCCACUCAUCCCAUCACUGAGGUCCUUGUGACCCCAGGGUCAGCUGUGUUCCCACUCAUCCCAUCGCAGAGCAUCUGUGACCCCAGGUCAUGCUGCUUAUUCUUCCCAGGCUGCAUAUCAAGUGAGAAUGUAAUGUGAUAUGAGGCUAACCUCAAGCUGCAGAUGUAGAGAAUCACCUGGAAUUAUCACAGGGUGUUGCCCUGCGAGGAUCUGGGCACGCCAGGUGAUGAGUGGCAUGUGCAC
RNAcentral lists this long non-coding RNA (2660 nucleotides) under Homo sapiens (human). RNAcentral's name for it is "HSALNT0131884". The record is from RNAcentral. Lineage: Eukaryota; Metazoa; Chordata; Mammalia; Primates; Hominidae.